This 491-nucleotide ribosomal RNA is filed under the name uncultured bacterium. RNAcentral describes it as "bacterial SSU rRNA". It matches the Rfam family "Bacterial small subunit ribosomal RNA", at positions 28 to 517 of the family's 1533-position model. The record is from RNAcentral.
GAUGAACGCUAGCGGCAGGCCUAAUACAUGCAAGUCGAACGAGAUUGAGGAGCUUGCUCCUCAUGAAAGUGGCGCACGGGUGCGUAACGCGUAUGCAAUCUACCUUAAUCAGGGGGAUAGCCCGGAGAAAUCCGGAUUAAUACCGCAUAACGUUAUUUUAUGGCAUCAUAGAAUAACCAAACAUUUAUGGGAUUAAGAUGAGCAUGCGUGACAUUAGUUAGUUGGUGAGGUAACGGCUCACCAAGACUACGAUGUCUAGGGGAUCUGAGAGGACGACCCCCCACACUGGUACUGAGACACGGACCAGACUCCUACGGGAGGCAGCAGUAAGGAAUAUGGUCAAUGGGCGCAAGCCUGAACCAGCCAUGCCGCGUGCAGGAAGACGGCCCUAUGGGUUGUAAACUGCUUUUAUUCGGGAAUAAACCUCUUUACGUGUAAGGAGCUGAAUGUACCGAAGGAAUAAGGAUCGGCUAACUCCGUGCCAGCAGCCG